Molecule: ribosomal RNA, 254 nt
Filed under: uncultured bacterium
Lineage: Bacteria
Description: partial 16S ribosomal RNA
Rfam family: Bacterial small subunit ribosomal RNA
Source: RNAcentral
UACGUAGGGGGCAAGCGUUGUCCGGAUUUAUUGGGCGUAAAGAGCUCGUAGGCGGUUUGGUAAGUCGGAUGCGAAAUCUCCAGGCUCAACCUGGAGGGGUCAUUCGAUACUGCCAUGACUAGAGUUCGGUAGGGGAGUGUGGAAUUCCUGGUGGAGCGGUGAAAUGCGCAGAGAUCAGGAGGAACACCCGUAGCGAAGGCGGCACUCUGGGCCGAUACUGACGCUGAGGAGCGAAAGCGUGGGGAGCGAACAGG